AUGGAUGCAACUUGUGCAUUGCCGCCGCCGCGUGGCGCACCAGAUCAGAUUUCUCGUACGUACGUGAUGACGGAUGCCAAACGUCAGCGCCUGUCUGCAUGGCCGGACCUGCCGCCGGAGCUCCUUGGCACCGUCCUCCGACGUCUCCUGUCCCUCGCAGAUCGCGUCCGUCUCCGCGCCGUGUGCCGGCCGUGGCGCGUGAAUGCCGCCGGGCUGCCCCCGUCCCACCUCCGUCUCCCUUGGCUGGCCUUCCGCGACGGCACCCUCCUUGACGUCGCCAACAACGCCGCGCACGGCGUGUGCAUCCCCGACGACGCCGUCUCCUACAGCGCCAGCGAAAACGCCUUCUUCCUCGUGCACGACGACGGCCGAUGCUCCCUGAUGGACGCCUUCUCCGGCGCUCCCGUGACACCUCUCCCCGAGCUUGCUGGUCUCCUGCGUGCUCGCGACGUGAAUGCCCGCUACGAGCUCCUGCAGCCCAUAACCAAGGUCGUGGUGUCGCCGGCGGCCUCGGCAGAGCUGGAACACCGCCUCAUCGCCGUCAUGAUCCACAACUCCACAGUCCUCCUCUCCACCUGCCGACCGGCCGGCGAGACCAACGCGUGCCUAGCGCUGGAUCACUACUUCGAAUUCUGCAUCGCCGACAUCAAGUUCUUUGCAGGGAGGAUCUACGCCGUGUCCAAGAUCUACGAGACGCUCCGCGCCCUCGACCUCAAAAACGGCCGCCUCCACGAGAUACCGGCAUCGCCACCUGGCUUUGAGAUCAUAUCCGGAGUGAGGCCCGAGUUCAUCACGAUGACUGACGAGCCUCAUCUGCAAAAAGAUCCAUGGCCGUACGGUCACAUCGUUGCCGGGCGGUAUCUAGUCGAAUGUAAUGGCAAGCUCCUCAUGGUCAGGCGGUGGGCUCGCAAACCUCUGUUGAGCUUUAGCUACUACUCGAUGACCGAAUACCAUGACGACGAUGGAUUUGGCAUUGAACGGACCCGCCGGUUCGAGGUCUUCGAGGUGGACAACAGCUACCGCCCGUGGGAGAUCUACGGCCGGUGGAAGAAGGUACGGGAUCUGGACGGUCAGGCGCUCUUCGUGUCAUCGCCAUGCUCCAGGGCUGCACCUGCCGCAGGACACGGAGCUCGAGAAGACUGCGUCUACUUCACGCAUCAGAUGGACCCACUGCAACGAGGAGAUCCACUCGGCGACUCCGGCGUGUACAGCAUGAGAGAGGGGACGAUCAAUCGGCCAUUGCUGCCUGAACCCGCGGCGCUGCCUGGGUCGCUGCUACGGUGCCAACGUUGCCCUGCAUGGGUUUUCCCCUUUGAAGCUUAA
RNAcentral lists this ribosomal RNA (1323 nucleotides) under Triticum aestivum (bread wheat). RNAcentral's name for it is "partial small subunit ribosomal RNA". Lineage: Eukaryota; Viridiplantae; Streptophyta; Magnoliopsida; Poales; Poaceae. The record is from RNAcentral.